This 458-nucleotide ribosomal RNA is filed under the name uncultured Fusibacter sp. RNAcentral's name for it is "bacterial SSU rRNA". It matches the Rfam family "Bacterial small subunit ribosomal RNA", at positions 927 to 1382 of the family's 1533-position model. The record is from RNAcentral. Lineage: Bacteria; Bacillati; Bacillota; Clostridia; Eubacteriales; Fusibacteraceae.
AAGCAGCGGAGCAUGUGGUUUAAUUCGAAGCAACGCGAAGAACCUUACCAGAUCUUGACAUCCAAUUGACCAUCUUUUAAUCGAGAUUUUGCCUUCGGGUACAAUUGAGACAGGUGGUGCAUGGUUGUCGUCAGCUCGUGUCGUGAGAUGUUGGGUUAAGUCCCGCAACGAGCGCAACCCUUGUGUUUAGUUGCAAACAGGUCAAGCUGUGCACUCUAGACAGACUGCCGUGGACAACACGGAGGAAGGUGGGGAUGACGUCAAAUCAUCAUGCCCCUUAUGACCUGGGCUACAAACGUGAUACAAUGGCUGGAACAAAGGGAUGCGAAGCAGUGAUGUGGAGCGAAACCCAUAAAAACAGUCUCAGUUCGGAUUGAAGUCUGCAACUCGACUUCAUGAAGUCGGAAUCGCUAGUAAUCGCGGAUCAGAACGCCGCGGUGAAUACGUUCCCGGGUCUU